CUUUAUCUCAACUCAAGGGUUUCCUCACUUUUUCCUCCUUCCAUUUCUCUCCCAGGUCCUGCUGUGAAGCUGGGUGGGACUGAAGUGGCUCAACACAGCACUCUUGGGAACAGCACCUUAGACAUGCUGUAAUAUGCAUUCAGUACAGAAGGAGCAUUGCCAUCUUGCUGAAGUUCAGCACUGCAGCACCUACUUCAUGUCUAACAUAUUUGGGAAUUACAAAUUGCCUGACACUCCCCAAGAGCAUUGAAUGCAGUACAGAUCUGGAGGGGAAAGGAUGCUUUUCAUAAUGUGGACAUGAACACUUCUGAAUACUCAGACAGAAAGCCUGUCUCUGUAUGAAGGAGAGGAAUCCUUUUCAUUAGCACAUUUAAGUACAGACUUACCCCAGCAGUCAGAUCACUGCCCUGCCACACUUCACAUUUUAAAGACCAUGUAGGAUAUGCUAGCAUGAUAUUACUAUAGUUUUUUUUUGAAGAAGAUUUUCUUCCUGUGGUCCAUUUUAUCUUUGCCAGUUAUAAGUUGUUUCAAUCUGGAGUUGACUGACUGCAGCUCCUGAGGCACACCAGCUGCCAUGCUGCAGUGCAGCACCGACCUCUGUGUUCUGGAUGACUCCAACAGAACUGUUUGAGUAAUUUGACAUUAAAAUAAUGUUCAGUGACUCUGUCAUUUUCAACCAAUUUCCUGAAUAAUUUCAAAUCUAUUAAUAUACAGGAAACUGCUGCUUGACAAAGGUUGGAUUCUGUGAAUGCAGGAGUGCCAGUUAAUUUUUAACUUCCCUUAUUAUCUGAAAUGAAACCUGAUAUGACAGACUCAUUUUCAGUACCAGAUAGUGAGGAAGAUGGAAGCAGUGGACACAACUGACAUCCUUGUCUGAAAAAUUUCAGUAAUCUUUUAUUUUCCUUGUAGUCCUAUUUUUACAUGAAAAAAAGAAAGCUAAGCUAAAAAUAUAAUGCUACUGCACCAGGCUUAGGAGACUUUUCUCCAAAAACUCACAGAAAUUCAGGAGAAGAAAUCUGAUUUUGAACAGGAAUUUUGCCUUUACAUUUAUAGUUUAUUAACUGAGCCUGUUGAUUACAGUUACAAAAAGCCCAGCAAUAUUUUCUUUCUUUAUCAGGUUUGGCUGGAAUUAAAACAAAAGAGCUAACUGAUCUGUAAUAGUCACAAUCUAGAUCUUGUUACUGCUUCUUUUAAUGUUGUCUCCAUUUUUGUUUUCAUGGUUUUACCUAAUGACAACAUUGAAUAACAAAAACAGCCAAUGUAUAGCCUGACACUUUAAGGUGCUGAACUCCCU
This 1294-nucleotide long non-coding RNA is filed under the name Lonchura striata (white-rumped munia). Its description in RNAcentral is "domestica (Bengalese finch) lncRNA (ENSLSDG00000014366.1)". The record is from RNAcentral. Lineage: Eukaryota; Metazoa; Chordata; Aves; Passeriformes; Estrildidae.